RNAcentral lists this ribosomal RNA (307 nucleotides) under uncultured bacterium. Its description in RNAcentral is "partial 16S ribosomal RNA". It matches the Rfam family "Bacterial small subunit ribosomal RNA", at positions 506 to 807 of the family's 1533-position model. The record is from RNAcentral.
AGACAGCAGUCGCCGCGGGAAUACGUAGGUGGCAAGCGUUGUCCGGAAUUAUUGGGCGUAAAGGGCUCGCAGGCGGUUUCUUAAGUCUGAUGUGAAAGCCCCCGGCUCAACCGGGGAGGGUCAUUGGAAACUGGGGAACUUGAGUGCAGAAGAGGGGAGUGGAAUUCCACGUGUAGCGGUGAAAUGCGUAGAGAUGUGGAGGAACACCAGUGGCGAAGGCGACUCUCUGGUCUGUAACUGACGCUGAGGAGCGAAAGCGUGGGGAGCGAACGGGAUUAGAUACCCCCGUAGUCCCUGUCUCUUAUAC